GCUUUUUUUCGAAAAGCCUUCCUC
This 24-nucleotide small nuclear RNA is filed under the name Arabidopsis thaliana (thale cress). RNAcentral describes it as "snRNA_13897". The record is from RNAcentral. Lineage: Eukaryota; Viridiplantae; Streptophyta; Magnoliopsida; Brassicales; Brassicaceae.